RNAcentral lists this ribosomal RNA (201 nucleotides) under uncultured bacterium. RNAcentral describes it as "partial 16S ribosomal RNA". It matches the Rfam family "Bacterial small subunit ribosomal RNA", at positions 328 to 539 of the family's 1533-position model. The record is from RNAcentral.
ACGCUCGACACCUACGGGAGGCGGCAGUGGGGAAUAUUGGGCAAUGGAGGCAACUCUGACCCAGCAACGCCGCGUGAAUGAUGAAGGUCUUCGGAUUGUAAAGUUCUGUGACGGGGGACGAACACAAUGACGGUACCCCGAUAGCAAGCCACGGCUAACUACGUGCCAGGAGCCGCGGUAAUCUGAGCGGGCUGGCAAGGC